Molecule: ribosomal RNA, 877 nt
Filed under: uncultured Actinomycetes bacterium
Lineage: Bacteria; Bacillati; Actinomycetota; Actinomycetes
Description: bacterial SSU rRNA
Rfam family: Bacterial small subunit ribosomal RNA
Source: RNAcentral
GUGUGCUUAACACAUGCAAGUGGUGCGACGAACCAGACUUCGGUCUGGGGCAAAGCCGCGAACGGGUGAGUAACACGUGGGUAAUCUACCCCGAUGACCGGGACAACCCGAGGAAACUCGGGCUAAUACCGGAUGUGGUACGCAGACACAAGUCUGUUUACUAAAGGUAGCUUCGGCUUCCGCAUUGGGAGGGGCCCGCGGCCCAUUAGCUUGUUGGUGGGGUCAAGGCCUACCAAGGCAACGAUGGGUAGCUGGUCUGAGAGGACGAUCAGCCACACUGGGACGGAGACACGGCCCAGACUCCUACGGGAGGCAGCAGUGGGGAAUCUUGCGCAAUGCGCGAAAGCGUGACGCAGCAACACCGCGUGAGGGAAGACGGCCUUAGGGUUGUAAACCUCUUUCAGAUGGGACGAAGGUCAUCCGGUGAAUAGCCGAGAUGGUUGACGGUACCGUCAGAAGAAGCUCCGGCUAACUACGUGCCAGCAGCCGCGGUAAUACGUAGGGAGCGAGCGUUGUCCGGAAUCAUUGGGCGUAAAGAGCGCGUAGGUGGAUCAUCCAGUCUGCUGUGAAAGUCAAAGGCUCAACCUUUGAAAGCCGGUGGAUACUGUUGAUCUAGAGUACGGAAGAGGCGAGUGGAAUUCCUGGUGUAGCGGUGGAAUGCGCAGAUAUCAGGAGGAACACCAAUAGCGAAGGCAGCUCGCUGGGACGUUACUGACACUGAGGCGCGAAAGCGUGGGGAGCAAACAGGAUUAGAUACCCUGGUAGUCCACGCCGUAAACGAUGGGUACUAGAUGUGGGAGGUGUCGACUCCUUCCGUAUCGUAGCUAACGCACUAAGUACCCCGCCUGGGGAGUACGGCCGCAAGGCUAAAACUCAA